UACGUAGGGGGCGAGCGUUGUCCGGAAUCACUGGGCGUAAAGCGCGCGUAGGCGGUUUGUUAAGUGGGAUGUGAAAUCCCCGGGCUUAACCUGGGAAUUGCAUUUCAAACUGGCUGACUAGAGUACGGUAGAGGGAGGUAGAAUUUCCUGUGUAGCGGUGAAAUGCGUAGAUAUAGGAAGGAAUACCAGUGGCGAAGGCGGCCUCCUGGAUCGAUACUGACGCUGAGGCGCGAAAGCGUGGGGAGCAAACAGG
This 253-nucleotide ribosomal RNA is filed under the name uncultured bacterium. RNAcentral describes it as "partial 16S ribosomal RNA". It matches the Rfam family "Bacterial small subunit ribosomal RNA", at positions 524 to 776 of the family's 1533-position model. The record is from RNAcentral.